GGGUUGUGAGGUUAAGCGACUAAGCGUACACGGUGGAUGCCCUGGCAGUCAGAGGCGAUGAAGGACGUGCUAAUCUGCGAUAAGCGUCGGUAAGGUGAUAUGAACCGUUAUAACCGGCGAUUUCCGAAUGGGGAAACCCAGUGUGUUUCGACACACUAUCAUUAACUGAAUCCAUAGGUUAAUGAGGCGAACCGGGGGAACUGAAACAUCUAAGUACCCCGAGGAAAAGAAAUCAACCGAGAUUCCCCCAGUAGCGGCGAGCGAACGGGGAGGAGCCCAGAGCCUGAAUCAGUGUGUGUGUUAGUGGAAGCGUCUGGAAAGGCGCGCGAUACAGGGUGACAGCCCCGUAC
This 350-nucleotide ribosomal RNA is filed under the name Escherichia coli. RNAcentral describes it as "bacterial LSU rRNA". It matches the Rfam family "Bacterial large subunit ribosomal RNA", at positions 1 to 378 of the family's 2925-position model. The record is from RNAcentral. Lineage: Bacteria; Pseudomonadati; Pseudomonadota; Gammaproteobacteria; Enterobacterales; Enterobacteriaceae.